This 425-nucleotide ribosomal RNA is filed under the name uncultured cyanobacterium. Its description in RNAcentral is "bacterial SSU rRNA". It matches the Rfam family "Bacterial small subunit ribosomal RNA", at positions 357 to 796 of the family's 1533-position model. The record is from RNAcentral. Lineage: Bacteria; Bacillati; Cyanobacteriota.
GGGAAUUUUCCGCAAUGGGCGAAAGCCUGACGGAGCAACGCCGCGUGAGGGAUGAAGGCCUCUGGGCUGUAAACCUCUUUUCUCAAGGAAGAAGACCUGACGGUACUUGAGGAAUAAGCCNCNGNUUAAUUCCGUGCCAGCAGCCGCGGUAAUACGGGAGUGGCAAGCGUUAUCCGGAAUUAUUGGGCGUAAAGCGUCCGCAGGCGGCCUUGUAAGUCUGUUGUUAAAGCGUGGAGCUCAACUCCAUUUGAGCAAUGGAAACUACAAGGCUUGAGUGUGGUAGGGGCAGAGGGAAUUCCCGGUGUAGCGGUGAAAUGCGUAGAUAUCGGGAAGAACACCAGUGGCGAAGGCGCUCUGCUGGGCCAUAACUGACGCUCAUGGACGAAAGCCAGGGGAGCGAAAGGGAUUAGAUACCCCUGUAGUCA